RNAcentral lists this ribosomal RNA (473 nucleotides) under uncultured bacterium. RNAcentral's name for it is "bacterial SSU rRNA". It matches the Rfam family "Bacterial small subunit ribosomal RNA", at positions 328 to 793 of the family's 1533-position model. The record is from RNAcentral.
CUCUGUGACUCCUACGGGAGGCAGCAGUGGGGAAUAUUGCACAAUGGGCGCAAGCCUGAUGCUGCCAUGCCGCGUGUGUGAAGAAGGCCUUCGGGUUGUAAAGCACUUUCAGUUGUGAGGAAGGUGGUGUCGUUAAUAGCGGCAUCAUUUGACGUUAGCAACAGAAGAAGCACCGGCUAACUCCGUGCCAGCAGCCGCGGUAAUACGGAGGGUGCGAGCGUUAAUCGGAAUUACUGGGCGUAAAGCGCAUGCAGGUGGUUUGUUAAGUCAGAUGUGAAAGCCCGGGGCUCAACCUCGGAACUGCAUUUGAAACUGGCAGACUAGAGUACUGUAGAGGGGGGUAGAAUUUCAGGUGUAGCGGUGAAAUUCGUAGAUAUUAGGAGGAACACCAGUGGCGAAGGCGACUUACUGGACUGUAACUGACGCUGAUGCACGAAAGCGUGGGUAGCGAACAGGAUUAGAUACCCUGGUAG